This 468-nucleotide ribosomal RNA is filed under the name uncultured bacterium. Its description in RNAcentral is "partial 16S ribosomal RNA". It matches the Rfam family "Bacterial small subunit ribosomal RNA", at positions 28 to 507 of the family's 1533-position model. The record is from RNAcentral.
GACGAACGCUGGCGGCGUGCUUAACACAUGCAAGUCGAACGGAAAGGCCCUGCUUUUGUGGGGUGCUCGAGCGGCGAACGGGUGAGUAACACGUGAGUAACCUGCCCUUGACUUUGGGAUAACUUCAGGAAACUGGGGCUAAUACCGGAUAGGAGCUCCUGCUGCAUGGUGGGGGUUGGAAAGUUUCGGCGGUUGGGGAUGGCCUCGCGGCUUACCGCCUUGUUGGUGGGGUAGUGGCUUACCACGGCUUUGACGGGUAGCCGGCCUGAGAGGGUGACCGGCCACAUUGGGACUGAGAUACGGCCCAGACUCCUACGGGAGGCAGCAGGGGGGAAUAUUGCACAAUGGGCGGAAGCCUGAUGCAGCAACGCCGCGUGCGGGAUGACGGCCUUCGGGUUGUAAACCGCUUUCGCCUGUGACGAAGCGUGAGUGACGGUAAUGGGUAAAGAAGCACCGGCUAACUACGUG